GGAGAGGUGACCGAGCGGCCGAAGGUGGCACCCUGCUAAGGUGUUGUGCGGGUAACCGCACCGAGGGUUCGAAUCCCUCCCUCUCCG
Molecule: transfer RNA, 87 nt
Filed under: Oceanispirochaeta sp. M1
Lineage: Bacteria; Pseudomonadati; Spirochaetota; Spirochaetia; Spirochaetales; Spirochaetaceae
Also listed under: 1 other name
Rfam family: tRNA
About the family: Transfer RNA (tRNA) molecules are approximately 80 nucleotides in length.
Source: Rfam by way of RNAcentral